This 520-nucleotide ribosomal RNA is filed under the name uncultured Bacteroidota bacterium. RNAcentral describes it as "bacterial SSU rRNA". It matches the Rfam family "Bacterial small subunit ribosomal RNA", at positions 376 to 896 of the family's 1533-position model. The record is from RNAcentral. Lineage: Bacteria; Pseudomonadati; Bacteroidota.
CGAGACUCUGAUCAGCCAUGCCGCGUGCAGGAAGACUGCCCUAUGGGUUGUAAACUGCUUUUAUAUAGGAAGAAACCUUGGUACGUGUACCAAGCUGACGGUACUAUAAGAAUAAGGAUCGGCUAACUCCGUGCCAGCAGCCGCGGUAAUACGGAGGAUCCAAGCGUUAUCCGGAAUCAUUGGGUUUAAAGGGUCCGUAGGUGGAUAAUUAAGUCAGAGGUGAAAUCUUGCAGCUCAACUGUAAAAUUGCCUUUGAUACUGGUUAUCUUGAGUUAUUAUGAAGUAGUUAGAAUAUGUAGUGUAGCGGUGAAAUGCAUAGAUAUUACAUAGAAUACCAAUUGCGAAGGCAGAUUACUAAUAAUCAACUGACACUGAUGGACGAAAGCGUGGGUAGCGAACAGGAUUAGAUACCCUGGUAGUCCACGCCGUAAACGAUGGUUACUAGCUGUUUGGACCUUGUGUCUGAGUGGCUAAGCGAAAGUGAUAAGUAACCCACCUGGGGAGUACGUUCGCAAGAAUG